RNAcentral lists this ribosomal RNA (497 nucleotides) under uncultured bacterium. RNAcentral describes it as "partial 16S ribosomal RNA". It matches the Rfam family "Bacterial small subunit ribosomal RNA", at positions 28 to 507 of the family's 1533-position model. The record is from RNAcentral.
GAUGAACGCUGGCGGCGUGCCUAAUACAUGCAAGUCGAGCGAACGGACGAGAAGCUUGCUUCUCUGAUGUUAGCGGCGGACGGGUGAGUAACACGUGGAUAACCUACCUAUAAGACUGGGAUAACUUCGGGAAACCGGAGCUAAUACCGGAUAAUAUUCUGAACCGCAUGGUUCAAAAGUGAAAGACGGUCUUGCUGUCACUUAUAGAUGGAUCCGCGCUGCAUUAGCUAGUUGGUAAGGUAACGGCUUACCAAGGCAACGAUGCAUAGCCGACCUGAGAGGGUGAUCGGCCACACUGGAACUGAGACACGGUCCAGACUCCUACGGGAGGCAGCAGUAGGGAAUCUUCCGCAAUGGGCGAAAGCCUGACGGAGCAACGCCGCGUGAGUGAUGAAGGUCUUCGGAUCGUAAAACUCUGUUAUUAGGGAAGAACAUAUGUGUAAGUAACUGUGCACAUCUUGACGGUACCUAAUCAGAAAGCCACGGCUAACUACGUG